RNAcentral lists this long non-coding RNA (617 nucleotides) under Homo sapiens (human). Its description in RNAcentral is "HSALNT0319451". Lineage: Eukaryota; Metazoa; Chordata; Mammalia; Primates; Hominidae. The record is from RNAcentral.
AGUUCUUCUAUGUGUGUCUAGUAGAAUUUGGCUGUGCAUCUACCUGCUCCAGGGCUUUUUCUUGGUUGCCAGGUGAAGAUUUUCCUGCUUCCCCAUUGCCUUCUGCCAUGAUUGUAAGUUCCCCGAGGCCUCCUCAGCCAUGCUUCCCAAACAGCCUGUGGAACGUGUCUCCAAUCCUAUCCCCCUGUUAGCUCCAGUGCUUAUAAGAAGACCAAGUGCUUUCCCUUGGCCUGGGUUGCUCAGGUCUCCAGUGGAAAGAUAUUCUUUCAGAUACUGUGUACUGAUGAAACUGCUGACUCAGCUGGUCUGAAGGACCCCACUGGCACUGGCUGGUCUGAAGGACCCUGCUGAUCACAACUUGCCUGAAGGACCCUACUGACAUCAGCUGUUGUCCAAAGGACGCCACAAGAAACUGACUCACCAAAAAAUGCAUCCUGAUGAUUUCAUCCCCCUUAACCCGACCAAUCAACAACCCCAAAUCUACACAGCCCCUUUCCCUCCAUGAUUCCUACAAAACUCCAGCCCAGAACUCCUCAGGGAGAUGGAUUUGAAGGUCUCCUCCCUUCUACUUGCUUGAUGCCCUAUUAUUAUUAAACUCUUUGCUACAAACCCUGCUG